RNAcentral lists this ribosomal RNA (511 nucleotides) under Callarge sagitta. RNAcentral describes it as "partial 16S ribosomal RNA". The record is from RNAcentral. Lineage: Eukaryota; Metazoa; Arthropoda; Insecta; Lepidoptera; Nymphalidae.
GUCUUUUUGAUAAUAAUUUAAAGUCUAAUCUGCCCACUGAUAAGAUUAAAGGGCUGCAGUAAUUUGACUGUACAAAGGUAGCAUAAUCAAUAGUUUUUUAAUUGAAAACUUGUAUGAAAGAUUUAAUGAAAUAUUAACUGUCUCUUAAUUAUUAUUAAAAUUUUAUUUUUUAGUUAAAAAGCUAAAAUAAAUUUAAAAGACGAGAAGACCCUAUAGAGUUUUAUAUUAAAAAUAAUUAUUAUAUUAUAUAUAAAUUAAAUAUUAAAAUUAUAUUAAAUAUUAUAUUGGGGUGAUAAGAAAAUUAAAGAAACUUUUUUUAAUAAAUUGACAUAAAUAAAUGAUUAUAUGAUCCAUGAAUAAUGAUUAAAAGAACAAAUUACCUUAGGGAUAACAGCGUAAUAUUUUUUUUUAGCUCAAAUAAAAAAAAAAGUUUGCGACCUCGAUGUUGGAUUAAGAUAAAAUUUAAAUGCAAAAGUUUAAAAUUUUUGAUCUGUUCGAUCAUUAAAAUCUU